UGCUUGAUGAUGAUUGUCUCCUACGAUUGUCUUGUUGACAAAGUGAAAGCACCUUCACCGGCACUGAGAGCA
Molecule: small nucleolar RNA, 72 nt
Organism: Megalops cyprinoides (Indo-Pacific tarpon)
Lineage: Eukaryota; Metazoa; Chordata; Actinopteri; Elopiformes; Megalopidae
Product: small nucleolar RNA SNORD102
Exons: 1
Source: RefSeq, a predicted model, not a curated record